This 206-nucleotide long non-coding RNA is filed under the name Theobroma cacao (cacao). RNAcentral describes it as "long non-coding RNA (TCAC_LNC001643)". The record is from RNAcentral. Lineage: Eukaryota; Viridiplantae; Streptophyta; Magnoliopsida; Malvales; Malvaceae.
ACAAACAUACCUUUACUAGUGAGGCAGCCCAACAAUCCGUCGACUGCUCACCCCCUAUAAAGAGUUUACGAGAUUUUACAAGUAUUCUACCAGUAGCCAUUACAAUGUUUGAAAUGAGGACAUUCCUUUCCUAAAGGGUCUUCCCCCCUAAAGACUUAACAAGUAUUUUUGAAAGUGUCACCACAAGCCAUUACAUUGUUUGAAAA